Molecule: ribosomal RNA, 403 nt
Filed under: uncultured bacterium
Lineage: Bacteria
Description: bacterial SSU rRNA
Rfam family: Bacterial small subunit ribosomal RNA
Source: RNAcentral
UGGGGAAUCUUGCGCAAUGGGCGAAAGCCUGACGCAGCGACGCCGCGUGGGCGAUGAAGGCCUUCGGGUCGAAAAGCCCUUUUUGAGGGGAUGAGGAAGGACAGUACCCUCAGAAUAAGCCUCGGCUAACUACGUGCCAGCAGCCGCGGUAAAACGUAGGAGGCGAGCGUUAUCCGGAUUUACUGGGCGUAAAGCGCGUGCAGGCGGAUUGGAGAGUUGGAUGUGAAAGCUCCCGGCUUAACUGGGAGAGGUCGUUCAAUACUUCCAGUCUUGAGUGCAGUAGAGGGAAGUGGAAUUCCGGGUGUAGUGGUGAAAUGCGUAGAUAUCCGGAGGAACACCAGUGGCGAAAGCGGCUUCCUGGACUGUAACUGACGCUCAGACGCGAAAGCUAGGGUAGCAAACG